Molecule: long non-coding RNA, 2054 nt
Organism: Marmota monax (woodchuck)
Lineage: Eukaryota; Metazoa; Chordata; Mammalia; Rodentia; Sciuridae
Exons: 4
Source: RefSeq, a predicted model, not a curated record
CAGCCCAGGGGGCGGGCGUUUGAAAUCUGUGCCUUAGAGUAGACCCUGAAUAUCAUUUUUAUACCUUGGAGAACCAAUUACUUAAUGUCUUUUCCUUCCCCGACCCCCUCCCAGACUCCUUCAUUCCGGUACUGCGUGGACGGAAAGCCCCGGGUAGCCGACACCACGUCCGCAACUAGCGGGAGAGAGCGUGGAAAAGGAUUAUAUCAAACUGUUAAAAAUCCAACGGCUCCUGCUUCCGUCCUGCUCCUGAGCUAGACCCAACCAGCCUAGGGAGUUGGGCUACGGAAAGACUAGUAUUUUCACUUAAUUGGAUAUGAAGAAAGAACAAAUAUGUACGGGGGCAACCACGAUCUUUAUAAAGCGCUAAGUUCUAAUGGGAGGGGCGAUGUCAGUUUUAGCGUUUAUGACGUUGAAUGUUUAGAACGGUGGUCCCAGCUGUCAGAAGCGCGAGAUGGAAUUAAGAUGGCUACUCAAGCGUUAGGUGAAGUUUAAAUAAGACAACGAAAACCUGGGGGAAAUAAUCACCAAUGGUCUCCCACUGCUAUCAAAAGAAAGAAAGAAAAAAGACCGAGAGCAGAACAUAAGUUCCAGGAAAUCAGGAACCUUGUCUCUCUUGUUCACUGGUGUAUCCUCUGCAUAUAGAACAGUGCCUGGCACAUAAUAGGUGCUGAGAGAAAAAAGUAACUUACAUUCCACUAGUCUGAAAUCCUGAUUUGAAAUGAAGAUAUGACAAGACCCAGAGAAAUGAUUUCCAUUCAGGAGAGAAUCUCUAAGUGAAAAUUCAUGUGCUGAUCAGGCUCAAUAUAUACCAUCAUUAAGUCAUUCCCUACCCCAAGUCCAAUCAAGGCUGAUUAAUUCUCUCUCCAUUUCUACCAAUUGAAUCACUUCCUCCCAAUUCUAGUAAAUCCUUUCAUAUACAAAGUUGAAAUUUGUGCUUAAAAAUGUUGGAUGUUUUAAAUGAUAAGAAACAGAAAACCCAAUGGGCAUGAGUCAAAAUUGCAUUAAUGAAUAAUAUAAAUAAUGGAAUCUGCUUUGAAAUUUAAACCUAAUUCUAUACGAAAAGUUAGUGCUUUAAUUUGUUUUGAUAAGUAAGGAGGUUUUUAAAAAGUGGCUUGCCUUCUAUCCCCAAAUUCUGAUUUUAAAUGAAGACACUUAGGUUCAGAGGGGUGGUUUCCUGGAUAUAACCUCAGUGUGAAAUUUUCUUUGCUGAUAGUCCAGUUAGAUUACUGGAUAAUAUUAUAAUCUAACUACUACUUGUCUAAUUACAUGGUUAUUUUAUACUAAUUAGCAAGCCAGACAAUUAUUACUAAGACAAUUAAGAAUAAAACUUACUAAAAAUAGUUAAAAUAUCUAAACUAUAGAAAAUAAAAGAAUAGAAAAAUACAUGCCAGGCAAUAUAAACAAUAACAAGAAGACUUUAUGGAGUGAUAUUAAUUAUUAAAUUAUUCUUUUUAUUAAGUAACAUUAAUAGGGACAAAGAUGUGCAUCUUAUUAUAUUACAAAGAAAAAUCCACUAGGAAAUAAUGUAAUCAUGAACAUGUAUGCAACUAACCACAUAGCUGGAAAAGUGUGAAGCAAAAAGAAUUUCAAGGAAAAGCUGACAAAUCUGCAAUCAUGGUGGAAAUCUUUUUAUAACAUAAAUUGUUCUCAUCUUGGUAGAUCAUGCAGACUAACAAUAUUGAUCUAAUAUAUAUGUUAUAUGUGUGUGAAUAUAUGUGUAAUAUAUGUGUAUGCUUAUUGUAUUUAUAUAUGUAUAUAAAAUCUUAUAACAAAAACAGAAUACACAUUAUUUUCAAUAAACAUUGAAUAUUUUUUCCAAAUUAAUUAAGUAUAAAGCCCCAAAAUCAAUUUCAAUAAAUGCCUGUGUGUGCAUUUCUAAAUUGUGUUAGUCUUGCCAAUUUUUGAACUUUAUAAAUAUUUCAAAUGUUUAUAUAAAUUAAUUAUAUGUACUCUUUAGUGUUUUGCUUUUUUUCUCCCACUUAAUGUGUGUUGUAUGUAGCUGUGGUGUAUUAUAUAGAAUUUGAUUGUGUGAAAAUACAUAAUAUAAUUUA